GAUGAACGCUAGCGGCAGGCUUAACACAUGCAAGUCGAGGGCAGCAUGAGACUGAGAUUCGUCGAAGUCUUGAUGGCGACCGGCGCAAGGGUGCGUAACGCGUGAGCAACUUGCCCGUUUCUGGGGCAUAACCGGUGGAAACGCCGACUAAUUCCCCAUAGUAUUGAUUCCAGGCAUCUGUUGUCAAUUAAGAAUUUCGGAAACGGAUAGGCUCGCGUGACAUUAGCUAGAUGGCGGGUAACGGCCCACCAUGGCGACGAUCGGUAGCCGAACUGAGAGGUUGAUCGGCCGCAUUGGGACUGAGACA
Molecule: ribosomal RNA, 307 nt
Filed under: uncultured bacterium
Lineage: Bacteria
Description: bacterial SSU rRNA
Rfam family: Bacterial small subunit ribosomal RNA
Source: RNAcentral